RNAcentral lists this ribosomal RNA (393 nucleotides) under uncultured bacterium. RNAcentral's name for it is "partial 16S ribosomal RNA". It matches the Rfam family "Bacterial small subunit ribosomal RNA", at positions 523 to 918 of the family's 1533-position model. The record is from RNAcentral.
AUACGGAGGAUGCAAGCGUUUUCCGGAUUUAUUGGGUUUAAAGGGUGCGUAGGCGGUUUGCUAAGCAGGAGGUGAAAUGCCGGCGCUCAACGUCGGAAGUGCCUCCCGAACUGGUGGACUGGAAUGACUCUGCCGUGGGAGGAAUGGGUAGUGUAGCGGUGAAAUGCUUAGAGAUUACACAGAACACCGAUUGCGAAGGCAUCUCACGAAGGGUUGAUUGACGCUGAGGCACGAAAGCGUGGGGAUCAAACAGGAUUAGAUACCCUGGUAGUCCACGCAGUAAACGAUGAUGGCUAACCGCUGGUUUUUUCGGAUCAGUGGCCAAGCGAAAGCGAUAAGCCAUCCACCUGGGGAGUACGACCGCAAGGUUGAAACUCAAAGGAAUUGACGGGG